UGUAGAAAAGCAUAUUUCUACAACUUACAGUUUAGAGCACUGGGUAGCCUACAGCACUAGGGUCACUAGGGCAAGAGCCCAGGCCAGGGUCACACAGCUAGGAUGUGUGACACAGAAUUUGAACCCAGGUCUUUCUGAUGCCAAGGUCAGCUCUCUUUCUAUUACACUAUGGUGCGUCUCAUGAACGAAUAUACUGCUCAAGAACCGUGUGGGCAAACCUCUUCUUUCUCCAAGGAAUAUACUACUUCAGGAAAUGCCUUUCUCUAUCUAGGAGGUCUUACCACCAAUUUCUCUACCUUGAGAACUCUCCACUUUGGGGUUUCCAGCAAGGCAACAGCUGUGGUGAACCACCUCUUCUAAUACAUGUGCCCCCGAUUAACAUUCAUAACCAACUUU
Non-coding RNA from Phascolarctos cinereus (koala), 396 nucleotides. NCBI's taxonomy places the organism in Eukaryota, Metazoa, Chordata, Mammalia, Diprotodontia, Phascolarctidae. The record is from RefSeq and is a predicted model, not a curated record.